AAAAAGAUUCUCGUGAAUGGGCAACUGAUUUAUUCUAUUCAAAGAAUGUUGUUGGACUUAGAGCUGAUAUUAUAAUUACGAAUAAUAUAACCAAUGGGUUAAAACACUUUGAUGAUCAAACACCCGUGCCAAUGAAAAACGAAGAUAAACUCCGAGAAUUACAAAGUAUUCAAGAAAUGGUUGACAGUAACAACAUUGAAAAUUCAUUUAAAAAGAUGAAAAUUUUCGGAAUCUAUUCUACUACCGAGUUGCAAAAUACCAUCAAGUCCUUACGAAGCCUUGUGUAUGGAACAAGACGUAGAAAUGCU
Long non-coding RNA from Octopus sinensis (East Asian common octopus), 308 nucleotides. RefSeq lists it as uncharacterized. Lineage: Eukaryota; Metazoa; Mollusca; Cephalopoda; Octopoda; Octopodidae. The transcript is spliced from 3 exons. The record is from RefSeq and is a predicted model, not a curated record.